RNAcentral lists this ribosomal RNA (413 nucleotides) under Staphylococcus aureus. RNAcentral's name for it is "bacterial SSU rRNA". It matches the Rfam family "Bacterial small subunit ribosomal RNA", at positions 1033 to 1446 of the family's 1533-position model. The record is from RNAcentral. Lineage: Bacteria; Bacillati; Bacillota; Bacilli; Caryophanales; Staphylococcaceae.
GACAGGUGGUGCAUGGUUGUCGUCAGCUCGUGUCGUGAGAUGUUGGGUUAAGUCCCGCAACGAGCGCAACCCUUAAGCUUAGUUGCCAUCAUUAAGUUGGGCACUCUAAGUUGACUGCCGGUGACAAACCGGAGGAAGGUGGGGAUGACGUCAAAUCAUCAUGCCCCUUAUGAUUUGGGCUACACACGUGCUACAAUGGACAAUACAAAGGGCAGCGAAACCGCGAGGUCAAGCAAAUCCCAUAAAGUUGUUCUCAGUUCGGAUUGUAGUCUGCAACUCGACUACAUGAAGCUGGAAUCGCUAGUAAUCGUAGAUCAGCAUGCUACGGUGAAUACGUUCCCGGGUCUUGUACACACCGCCCGUCACACCACGAGAGUUUGUAACACCCGAAGCCGGUGGAGUAACCUUUUAGG